AUUCAAGGUGUCACAUACUUCCUAGAGAGGAUGUGAGAUCAAUAUUCAAGGUGUCACACUCGUCCUAGGGAGGAUGUGAGGUCAAUAUUCAAGGUGUCACACACUUCCUAGAGAGGAUGUGAGGUCAAUCGUUAAGGCCUGGGAAAAAUGCUCAUGAGGUCACUUUUGGGCUUUUGUUUUCAAUGUUAAAAAUCGGAUGGGCCUUCCUGUGUAAAAUUAGAUGAAAAUGGGAGGACUCACUUUCAGAUUGGAAGGGCCCAGCCGCCCAGAUAUGUCAGCCCCCUCCUGGAUUAUCCUUUCUUGUUGCUGAAUUUUACUAUUACAAUAUUCCAUUGUUUUCAAUAUGACUUAUAUUGUUGUGAAUAAUUGACAACUUUUUUUUCAGUCUAUGCCCUUCAUGGCCAACAAGGAAAAGACUGUGAACAAAUUUUCCUUCACAGUUUCUUAUCUGAUUUUCAUAAUUACUGGUAUGACAUGGCCAAUCACAGCUGUAAGGCAUCAGUGUAUUAGGAUUGGUGAUACCAUGGAAACUGCAGACUAGGAUCCAAGGCUUUUAGGAGCAAAACUGAAAAAUAGUGUCCACAACUGAUUGUCGACCAAAGACCAGAUUUUUUCUUUAAGAUAUGUGGGAUUCAUGUUUCUUGGUUUAUGUUGUGAACUAUUUGAGCUGUGAAUAAACAAUUUGUUGGUGAUUUUA
Long non-coding RNA from Ylistrum balloti, 697 nucleotides. RefSeq lists it as uncharacterized. The transcript is spliced from 2 exons. NCBI's taxonomy places the organism in Eukaryota, Metazoa, Mollusca, Bivalvia, Pectinida, Pectinidae. The record is from RefSeq and is a predicted model, not a curated record.